UACGUAGGGGGCUAGCGUUGUCCGGAAUCAUUGGGCGUAAAGAGCGUGUAGGCGGCCCGGUAAGUCCGCUGUGAAAGUCGGGGGCUCAACCCUCGGAUGCCGGUGGAUACUGUCGGGCUCGAGUACGGAAGAGGCGAGUGGAAUUCCUGGUGUAGCGGUGAAAUGCGCAGAUAUCGGGAAGAACACCCGUGGCGAAGGCGGCUCGCUGGGACGUCACUGACGCUGAGACGCGAAAGCGUGGGGAGCAAACAGG
Molecule: ribosomal RNA, 253 nt
Filed under: uncultured bacterium
Lineage: Bacteria
Description: partial 16S ribosomal RNA
Rfam family: Bacterial small subunit ribosomal RNA
Source: RNAcentral